AACGAUGAUAACUGGGCGUAUGCGAUAUACAGUAUGCUCCUAAGCGAAAGCGUUAAGUUAUCCACCUGGGGAGUACGCCGGCAACGGUGAAACUCAAAGGAAUUGACGGGGGCCCGCACAAGCGGAGGAACAUGUGGUUUAAUUCGAUGAUACGCGAGGAACCUUACCCGGGAUUGAAAUGUAGACGACGAGCGGUGAAAGUCGCUUUCCCUACGGGGCGUCUAUGUAGGUGCUGCAUGGCUGUCGUCAG
Molecule: ribosomal RNA, 250 nt
Filed under: uncultured bacterium
Lineage: Bacteria
Description: partial 16S ribosomal RNA
Rfam family: Bacterial small subunit ribosomal RNA
Source: RNAcentral